RNAcentral lists this ribosomal RNA (535 nucleotides) under uncultured bacterium. Its description in RNAcentral is "bacterial SSU rRNA". It matches the Rfam family "Bacterial small subunit ribosomal RNA", at positions 9 to 526 of the family's 1533-position model. The record is from RNAcentral.
GAGUUUGAUCCUGGCUCAGGACGAACGCUGGCGGCGUGCCUAAUACAUGCAAGUAGAACGCUGAAGUCUGGUGCUUGCACUAGACGGAUGAGUUGCGAACGGGUGAGUAACGCGUAGGUAACCUGCCUCAUAGCGGGGGAUAACUAUUGGAAACGAUAGCUAAUACCGCAUAACAGUAUUUACCGCAUGGUAGAUAUUUGAAAGGAGCAAUUGCUUCACUAUGAGAUGGACCUGCGUUGUAUUAGCUAGUUGGUGAGGUAACGGCUCACCAAGGCUUCGAUACAUAGCCGACCUGAGAGGGUGAUCGGCCACACUGGGACUGAGACACGGCCCAGACUCCUACGGGAGGCAGCAGUAGGGAAUCUUCGGCAAUGGGGGCAACCCUGACCGAGCAACGCCGCGUGAGUGAAGAAGGUUUUCGGAUCGUAAAGCUCUGUUGUAAGAGAAGAACGUGUGUGAGAGUGGAAAGUUCACACAGUGACGGUAUCUUACCAGAAAGGGACGGCUAACUACGUGCCAGCAGCCGCGGUAAUAC